Molecule: ribosomal RNA, 429 nt
Filed under: Bacteroidota bacterium
Lineage: Bacteria; Pseudomonadati; Bacteroidota
Description: Bacteroidetes bacterium partial 16S ribosomal RNA
Rfam family: Bacterial small subunit ribosomal RNA
Source: RNAcentral
UAGAGAAUCUUCGGCAAUGGGGGGAACCCUGACCGAGCAACGCCGCGUGAGUGAAGAAGGUUUUCGGAUCGUAAAGCUCUGUUGUUAAGGAAGAACGAGUGUGAGAAUGGAAAGUUCAUACUGUGACGGUACUUAACCAGAAAGGGACGGCUAACUACGUGCCAGCAGCCGCGGUAAUACGUAGGUCCCGAGCGUUGUCCGGAUUUAUUGGGCGUAAAGCGAGCGCAGGCGGUUAGAUAAGUCUGAAGUUAAAGGCAGUGGCUCAACCAUUGUAGGCUUUGGAAACUGUUUAACUUGAGUGCAGAAGGGGAGAGUGGAAUUCCAUGUGUAGCGGUGAAAUGCGUAGAUAUAUGGAGGAACACCGGUGGCGAAAGCGGCUCUCUGGUCUGUAACUGACGCUGAGGCUCGAAAGCGUGGGGAGCGAACAGG